CUAGGCUAAGGUUUCAGCGGGGCAGACAUGCCCUUGGCAGCCCGUCUCCUGCCCUAGCAGCGCUAGGCCCAUCGCUACAGAGCCUGGGCGCCAGAGCCGCACAUGCAGCGAGCAGCGGCACCUGGACCCUCGGACAGGAAGUGGCCGCUCCGGCUGUGGGCUCAUCAUGAAAGGAGGGGAGCCUGGGGAGAGAGCCGAGGAAGAGCAGCUGCAAGAGCCUGUCUGAAGGCAGCGCCGAGCAGAUGUGGAGUGCGUGUCGGGGAAAACGGGAGGGGGCAGUCCGGGGCUGCCCCUGCGUCCAGAGAAGAUGCUCGACACACGCAGCCGGACCAACUCAAGGGGCAAGGGAAGAGUGGAGGGUUUUAGGGCGCAGACCAGGCUGCACAGCUGAAGCCGAGCUCCCAGAAAAAGGAGUGAAGCCCUGCCGGCUUUUGGACUAGAACCACACCAUCAACUCUUCUGGGU
This 465-nucleotide long non-coding RNA is filed under the name Equus asinus (donkey). RNAcentral's name for it is "lncRNA (ENSEASG00005026783.1)". The record is from RNAcentral. Lineage: Eukaryota; Metazoa; Chordata; Mammalia; Perissodactyla; Equidae.